AGAGUUUGAUCCUGGCUCAGGAUGAACGCUAGCUACAGGCUUAACACAUGCAAGUCGAGGGGCAGCAUCAUCAAAGCUUGCUUUGAUGGAUGGCGACCGGCGCACGGGUGAGUAACACGUAUCCAACCUGCCGACAACACUGGGAUAGCCUUUCGAAAGAAAGAUUAAUACCGGAUGGCAUAGUUUUCCCGCAUGGGAUAAUUAUUAAAGAAUUUCGGUUGUCGAUGGGGAUGCGUUCCAUUAGGCAGUUGGCGGGGUAACGGCCCACCAAACCAACGAUGGAUAGGGGUUCUGAGAGGAAGGUCCCCCACAUUGGAACUGAGACACGGUCCAAACUCCUACGGGAGGCAGCAGUGAGGAAUAUUGGUCAAUGGACGAGAGUCUGAACCAGCCAAGUAGCGUGAAGGAUGACUGCCCUAUGGGUUGUAAACUUCUUUUAUACGGGAAUAAAGUUAGCCACGUGUGGCUUUUUGUAUGUACCGUAUGAAUAAGGAUCGGCUAACUCCGUGCCAGCAGCCGCGGUAAUACGGAGGAUCCGAGCGUUAUCCGGAUUUAUUGGGUUUAAAGGGAGCGUAGGCGGGUUGUUAAGUCAGUUGUGAAAGUUUGCGGCUCAACCGUAAAAUUGCAGUUGAUACUGGCGACCUUGAGUGCAACAGAGGUAGGCGGAAUUCGUGGUGUAGCGGUGAAAUGCUUAGAUAUCACGAAGAACUCCGAUUGCGAAGGCAGCUUGCUGGACUGUAACUGACGCUGAUGCUCGAAAGUGUGGGUAUCAAACAGGAUUAGAUACCCUGGUAGUCCACACAGUAAACGAUGAAUACUCGCUGUUGGCGAUAUACAGUCAGCGGCCAAGCGAAAGCAUUAAGUAUUCCACCUGGGGAGUACGCCGGCAACGGUGAAACUCAAAGGAAUUGACGGGGGCCCGCACAAGCGGAGGAACAUGUGGUUUAAUUCGAUGAUACGCGAGGAACCUUACCCGGGCUUAAAUUGCAACUGACUGAACCGGAAACGGUUCUUUCUUCGGACAGUUGUGAAGGUGCUGCAUGGUUGUCGUCAGCUCGUGCCGUGAGGUGUCGGCUUAAGUGCCAUAACGAGCGCAACCCUUAUCGAUAGUUACUAGCAGGUCAUGCUGAGGACUCUAUUGAGACUGCCGUCGUAAGAUGUGAGGAAGGUGGGGAUGACGUCAAAUCAGCACGGCCCUUACGUCCGGGGCUACACACGUGUUACAAUGGGGGGUACAGAAGGCAGCUACACGGCGACGUGGUGCUAAUCCCGAAAGCCUCUCUCAGUUCGGAUUGGAGUCUGCAACCCGACUCCAUGAAGCUGGAUUCGCUAGUAAUCGCGCAUCAGCCACGGCGCGGUGAAUACGUUCCCGGGCCUUGCACACACCGCCCGUCA
This 1395-nucleotide ribosomal RNA is filed under the name uncultured bacterium. Its description in RNAcentral is "16S ribosomal RNA". It matches the Rfam family "Bacterial small subunit ribosomal RNA". The record is from RNAcentral.